AACACUGUUAACCUGCGGUACCUGCGGAAGGAUCAUUACCGAGUUUACAACUCCCAAACCCCUGUGAACAUACCUAUACGUUGCCUCGGCGGAUCAGCCCGCGCCCCGUAAAAAGGGACGGCCCGCCCGAGGACCCCUAAACUCUGUUUUUAGUGGAACUUCUGAGUAAAACAAACAAAUAAAUCAAAACUUUCAGCAACGGAUCU
Molecule: unclassified non-coding RNA, 206 nt
Filed under: soil metagenome
Description: partial contains 5.8S ribosomal RNA, internal transcribed spacer 2, and large subunit ribosomal RNA
Source: RNAcentral